This 774-nucleotide ribosomal RNA is filed under the name uncultured soil bacterium. RNAcentral's name for it is "bacterial SSU rRNA". It matches the Rfam family "Bacterial small subunit ribosomal RNA", at positions 8 to 778 of the family's 1533-position model. The record is from RNAcentral.
AGAGUUUGAUCCUGGCUCAGAGCGAACGCUGGCGGCGUGCUUAACACAUGCAAGUCGAACGCGCAGCAUUCUGUAGCAAUACAGGGUGUGGGCGCGUGGCGAACGGGUGCGUAACACGUGGAUAACCUUCCUUCAGGUGGGGAAUAACCCAGUGAAAACUGGGCUAAUACCGCAUAACAUGACGAUGGCACAUGCUGUUGUCUUCAAAGGCGCAAGUCGCCAGAAGAGGGAUCCGCGGCCGAUUAGCUUGUUGGCGAGGUAAUGGCUCACCAAGGCAAUGAUCGGUAGCCGGACUGAGAGGUUGGCCGGCCACACUGGAACUGAGACACGGUCCAGACUCCUACGGGAGGCAGCAGUGGGGAAUCUUGCACAAUGGACGAAAGUCUGAUGCAGCAACGCCGCGUGGGGGAUGAAGCUUCUCGGAGUGUAAACCCCUUUCGACCCGGAAGAAUGCCCGCAAGGGUUUGACGGUACGGGUAUAAGAAGCCCCGGCUAACUACGUGCCAGCAGCCGCGGUAAUACGUAGGGGGCCAGCGUUGCUCGGAAUUACUGGGCGUAAAGGGUCUGUAGGCGGUGCGGCAAGUCGAUAGUGAAAUCCCUAGGCUUAACCUAGGGGCUGCUAGCGAAACUGCCGUGCUAGAGUGUGAGAGAGGCGAGUGGAAUUACGGGUGUAGCGGUGAAAUGCGUAGAUAUCCGUAGGAACAUCCGAGGCGAAAGCGGCUCGCUGGAUCACAACUGACGCUGAGAGACGAAAGCUAGGGGAGCAAACAGGAU